GAUGAACGCUGGCGGCGUGCCUAAUACAUGCAAGUCGAGCGAACGGACGAGAAGCUUGCUUCUCUGAUGUUAGCGGCGGACGGGUGAGUAACACGUGGAUAACCUACCUAUAAGACUGGGAUAACUUCGGGAAACCGUAGCUAAUACCGGAUAAUAUUUUGAACCGCAUGGUUCAAAAGUGAAAGACGGUCUUGCUGUCACUUAUAGAUGUAUCCGCGCUGCAUUAGCUAGUUGGUAAGGUAACGGCUUACCAAGGCAACGAUGCAUAGCCGACCUGAGAGGGUGAUCGGACACACUGGAACUGAGACACGGUCCAGACGCCUACGGGAGGAAGCAGUAGGGAAUAUUCCGCAAUGGGCGAAAGCCUGACGGAGCAAAGCCGCGUGAGUGAUGAAGGUCUUCGGAUCGUAAAACUCUGUUAUUAGGGAAGAACAUAUGUGUAAGUAACUGUGCACAUCUUGACGGUACCUAAUCAGAAAGCCACGGCUAACUACGUG
Molecule: ribosomal RNA, 497 nt
Filed under: uncultured bacterium
Lineage: Bacteria
Description: partial 16S ribosomal RNA
Rfam family: Bacterial small subunit ribosomal RNA
Source: RNAcentral